This is an RNA transcript of Mandrillus leucophaeus (drill), 1533 nucleotides long. It is a transcript of the gene named F-box-like/WD repeat-containing protein TBL1XR1 pseudogene, with no coding region annotated. The record is from RefSeq and is a predicted model, not a curated record. The transcript has a single exon. NCBI's taxonomy places the organism in Eukaryota, Metazoa, Chordata, Mammalia, Primates, Cercopithecidae.
AUGAGUAUAAGCAGUGAUGAAGUCAACUUCGUGGUAUACAGAUACUUGCAAGAGUCAGGAUUUUCUCAUUCAGCAUUUACCUUUGCUAUAGAAAGCCAUAUCAGUCAGUCCAAUAUAAAGGGUGCCCUCAUCCCACCUACUGCAUUGAUUUCUAUCAUCCAGAAAGGUCUACAGUAUGUAGAAGCAGAAGUUAGUAUUAAUGAGGAUGGUACCUUUAUUGAUGGUCGACCAAUAGAGUUUGUGCCUGAUAGAUGCGGUAAUGCCUGAUGUAGUACAAACAAGACAACAGGCUUAUAGAGAUAAGCUUGAAUCGCAACAGGCAGCAGCUGCCGCAGCUGCAGCCAACCAACAAGGAUCUGAAAAAAAACGGAGAAACCACAGCAAAUGGGGAGGAGAAUGGAGCACAUACUAUAGCAAAUAAUCAUACUGAUAGGAUGGAAGUGGAUGGGGACGUUGAAAUCUCUCCUAAUAAAGCAGUUGUGUUAUGGGGCCAUGAAUCUGAAGUUUUCAUCUGUGCCUGGAACUCUGUUAGUGAUCUCCUAGCAUUAGGGUCUGAAGACUCAACAGCAAGAAUAGGGAAUCUUAGUGAAAACAGCACCAGUGGCUCUACACAGUUAGUAUUUAGACAUUGUAUAGGAGAAAGAGGGCAAGAUGUUCCAAACAACAAGGAUGUAACAUCUCUAGAUUGGAAUAGUGAAGGUACGCUUCUAACAACUGGUUCCUACGAUGGGUUUGACAGAACAUGGACUAAAUAAAGAUGGUAACCUUGCUAGUACCUUAGGGCAGCAUAAAGGCAAUAUUUGCAUUAAAUGGAAUAAGAAAAGAAAUUUUGUCCUAAGUGCUGGAGUAGACAAGACUACAAUUAUUUGGGAUGCACGUACCGGUGAUGCCAAGCAACAGUUUCCUUUUCAUUCAGCACCAGCAUUAGAUGUUGAUUGGCAGAGCAACAACACCUUUGCUUCUCGUAGUACAGAUAUGUGCAUUCAUAUCUGUAAAUUAGGACAAGACAGACCUAUUGAAACAUUCCAAGGACAUAUGAAUGAAGUAAAUGUUACCAAAUGGGACCCAGCUGGCAAUCUCCUGGCCUCCUGUUCUGAUGACAUGACUUUAAAGAUAUGGAGUAUGAAACAAGACAAUUGUGUCCAUGAUUUGCAAGCACAUAAAGAAAUUUAUACUAUCAAAUGGAGUCCAACAGGACCAAGGACUAAUAAUCAAAAUGGCAACCUUAUGUUAGCAAGUGCAUCCUUUGAUUCUACUGUUAGGUUAUAGGAUGUAGACCGAGGGAUAUGCAUCCAUACCUUGGCAAAACACUAAGAGCCUGUGUACAGUGUAGCUUUCAGUCCUGAUGGCUGGUAUCUGACCAGCGGUUCUUUUGACAAAUGUGUACACAUCUGGAACACACAGACAGGUGCUCUAGUUCACAGCUAGAGGGGAACAGACGGAAUUUUUGAAGUUUGCUGGAAUGCAGCAGGAGACAAAGUUGGAGCCACUGCAUCAGAUGGUUCAGAUUGUGUAUUAGACUUUUGGAAAUAG